AACGCAACUUGCACUUUCCAGGCCAAUGGAGAGUAUACUUGUUUGAGUAUCAGAAUAAUCUAUCCAACAGAUGUUGGGAGUUGAGGCGACACUUGUGUGCCUCUAAAUGGAUGCUGAUCAAAGUGCGGUAAAAGACGGAUGUUCUUUCCCACUGAGUGUCAUUAAACCGAAUUAUGAUCUCAAAUCAAGUAAGAGUACCCGCCGAACUUAA
Molecule: unclassified non-coding RNA, 211 nt
Filed under: uncultured fungus
Lineage: Eukaryota; Fungi
Description: partial internal transcribed spacer 2
Source: RNAcentral